RNAcentral lists this ribosomal RNA (363 nucleotides) under uncultured bacterium. RNAcentral describes it as "partial 16S ribosomal RNA". It matches the Rfam family "Bacterial small subunit ribosomal RNA", at positions 338 to 698 of the family's 1533-position model. The record is from RNAcentral.
CCUACGGGAGGCAGCAGUGAGGAAUAUUGGUCAAUGGACGGAAGUCUGAACCAGCCAUGCCGCGUGCAGGAAGACGGCUCUAUGAGUUUUAAACUGCUUUUGUACAAGGGUAAACCUGAAUACGUGUAUUCAGCUCAAAGUACUGUACGAAUAAGGAUCGGCUAACUCCGUGCCAGCAGCCGCGGUAAUACUGAUGAUCCAAGCGUUAUCCGGAUUUAUUGGGUUUAAAGGGUGCGUAGGCGGAUGGAUAAGUUAGAGGUGAAAUGUCCGCGCUUAACUCGGGAAGUGCCUCUAAUACUGUUGAUCUAGAGAGUGGAUGCGGGAGGCAGAAUGCAUGGUGUAGCGGUGAAAUGCUUAGAGAUG